RNAcentral lists this ribosomal RNA (258 nucleotides) under uncultured archaeon. Its description in RNAcentral is "partial 16S ribosomal RNA". It matches the Rfam family "Archaeal small subunit ribosomal RNA", at positions 748 to 1009 of the family's 1478-position model. The record is from RNAcentral.
CAGCCGUAAACUAUGCUCGCUAGGUGUCAGGCAUGGCGCGACCGUGUCUGGUGCCGCAGGGAAGCCGUGAAGCGAGCCACCUGGGAAGUACGGCCGCAAGGCUGAACUUAAGGAAUUGGCGGGGGAGCACAACAACGGGUGGAGCCUGCGGUUUAAUGGACUCAACGCCGGACAACUCACCGGGAACGACAGCAAUAUGUAGGCCAGGCUGAAGACCUUGCCUGAAUCGCUGAGAGGAGGUGCAUGGCGUAGACGUCU